UCAUCUUUUCUCACGCUCAGACUCGACCUCUCUUGAUACCAGAAUCAUAAAGUUAGCUGUGGGUUGCUCUUUUAUCUUUAUCGGCCUUGUUGUGGCUUUUUCUGCUGCAUACUGGCACUACAAGAAACAGCACAGAGGUUUUACCUCUCUUGCCCUCCAUUGAGAGCUGAAAUGAUGUUAAGGGUUUAACCAUUGAACAUCCACUCUGCUUUUGCGUGUGUGUGUGUGUAUGUAAAUCUUUUAUUUCCUCCUGUUGUUGUAUUAUUGCUCAUUUUAAUAAAGACUUAAUGGCUUAA
Molecule: long non-coding RNA, 296 nt
Organism: Cyprinus carpio (common carp)
Lineage: Eukaryota; Metazoa; Chordata; Actinopteri; Cypriniformes; Cyprinidae
Exons: 2
Source: RefSeq, a predicted model, not a curated record